Long non-coding RNA from Empidonax traillii (willow flycatcher), 912 nucleotides. RefSeq lists it as uncharacterized. Lineage: Eukaryota; Metazoa; Chordata; Aves; Passeriformes; Tyrannidae. The transcript is spliced from 3 exons. The record is from RefSeq and is a predicted model, not a curated record.
UGGAACUUCCUUCCCUGCUGAGCAAAUUUACUCCUGUUAGAUGUGGGCAACAUGUCUUUUAUGAACACAGAUAAGCUCAUGAGGAUUUCUUUGUCAUGGAGGUCAUAAAAUAAGGAACUCCAAAAUCAAGCCUGCCAUGGCGAGAAGGAAGAGAGGCAGUAAGGGAAAUUCAUAAAUCUAACUGAAAAGCCCAAGAGGAUUUAUUCAAAAAAGCAUGAACAAUUACAGCACAGCACCCUCUUCCAAGGCACACUUGCCUCUGUGACAGCGCCAGUGACCACUCUUGUGCCGGGGAAUUCCGUGAUGCCAUUUUGACGUGGUCGUACAAAAAAAUUCAGGCCAGUGAUUUCCACACAGUUUCGUGUAUUUGGUUUUCUAAGGAAGGUUUUUGAAACAAAUAUCUUAUUUCCUUUUUAUGAACACUAAAAAUUCCUGAUACCUUUCAGGAAGGGUAGGGUUUAAUCCUGCUGCUCUUGGCUGAAAUUGCUCCUACAUGUUAUUAUCAACACUGUACUUAGAACAACAAAGCCCUGUCACUUCCACCCCAGAUGUGGCUACAUCAGGUAAGUGAUGGAGUGUUUUCCAAUUUCAGGCAACUUUGCAAGUACACAAAGGGAAAAGGUAUGUUCAGAAUGUAAACAAAGCAUAGGAGAUAACAACAAACACACAAUAAGGCAGGUAUGGCCUUGAAAAUUGGAAUGAGAAUUCCUCAAGGAACAACUAAUAGGUUUCAGGGAGGAUACAACAGGAAGUGAGGGCAACAACCCUUAAUCAAGAGCUUCUUCCAGAGCUAGGGAGUGUCAUGAUGCACAGAGAUGAUGGAUGAAGAAAGCAGAGGGUGUAGCUGAAGAAGGGAAGAGAUACUGUCAAUACUUACAGGAAAAAUGAGCUGAAGCUUAGCAGAAUUUUCAU